Molecule: ribosomal RNA, 1013 nt
Filed under: Sagenomella striatispora
Lineage: Eukaryota; Fungi; Ascomycota; Eurotiomycetes; Eurotiales; Trichocomaceae
Description: SSU rRNA
Rfam family: Eukaryotic small subunit ribosomal RNA
Source: RNAcentral
AACUGCGAAUGGCUCAUUAAAUCAGUUAUCGUUUAUUUGAUAGUACCUUACUACAUGGAUACCUGUGGUAAUUCUAGAGCUAAUACAUGCUGAAAACCUCGACUUCGGAAGGGGUGUAUUUAUUAGAUAAAAAACCAAUGCCCUUCGGGGCUCCUUGGUGAUUCAUAAUAACUAAACGAAUCGCAUGGCCUUGCGCCGGCGAUGGUUCAUUCAAAUUUCUGCCCUAUCAACUUUCGAUGGUAGGAUAGUGGCCUACCAUGGUGGCAACGGGUAACGGGGAAUUAGGGUUCGAUUCCGGAGAGGGAGCCUGAGAAACGGCUACCACAUCCAAGGAAGGCAGCAGGCGCGCAAAUUACCCAAUCCCGAUCCGGGGAGGUAGUGACAAUAAAUACUGAUACAGGGCUCUUUUGGGUCUUGUAAUUGGAAUGAGUACAAUCUAAAUCCCUUAACGAGGAACAAUUGGAGGGCAAGUCUGGUGCCAGCAGCCGCGGUAAUUCCAGCUCCAAUAGCGUAUAUUAAAGUUGUUGCAGUUAAAAAGCUCGUAGUUGAACCUUGGGCCUGGCUGGCCGGUCCGCCUCACCGCGAGUACUGGUCCGGCUGGGCCUUUCCUUCUGGGGAACCCCAUGGCCUUCACUGGCUGUGGCGGGGAACCAGGACUUUUACUGUGAAAAAAUUAGAGUGUUCAAAGCAGGCCUUUGCUCGGAUACAUUAGCAUGGAAUAAUAGAAUAGGACGUGCGGUUCUAUUUUGUUGGUUUCUAGGACCGCCGUAAUGAUUAAUAGGGAUAGUCGGGGGCGUCAGUAUUCAGCUGUCAGAGGUGAAAUUCUUGGAUUUGCUGAAGACUAACUACUGCGAAAGCAUUCGCCAAGGAUGUUUUCAUUAAUCAGGGAACGAAAGUUAGGGGAUCGAAGACGAUCAGAUACCGUCGUAGUCUUAACCAUAAACUAUGCCGACUAGGGAUCGGGCGGUGUUUCUAUGAUGACCCGCUCGGCACCUUACGAGAAAUCAAAGUUU